UGCGCAUGCGGCCGAGUGCGGGACUGGGGCUCCUGGCUGUGGGUGUGGUACUGAGGCUUCAGCGGGUGCCGCCCGCCUAGAGGGAGUGGAGCGAGAGCCUACGACUAGAUUUGCAUCUUUACGUCCUGCGCGGAGGCUGCUACACACAUGCAGAAGUCAUGCUGGUGGCCUGGACAUUGAAGGGAGAGAAGUGGAUUUGGGAGACAUUUAGGAGGUAAGAUUGCUAGGACCUUGGUGAUAGCUUGGACAUGGAGGGUGGAGGAGGAGGGGUGUCUAGCAUAAUGCUCUUAGGUUACCACCUGGGAUAUUAG
RNAcentral lists this long non-coding RNA (311 nucleotides) under Homo sapiens (human). Its description in RNAcentral is "non-protein coding lnc-SLC35F5-14:6". Lineage: Eukaryota; Metazoa; Chordata; Mammalia; Primates; Hominidae. The record is from RNAcentral.